Molecule: ribosomal RNA, 347 nt
Filed under: Amanita populiphila
Lineage: Eukaryota; Fungi; Basidiomycota; Agaricomycetes; Agaricales; Amanitaceae
Description: SSU rRNA
Rfam family: Eukaryotic small subunit ribosomal RNA
Source: RNAcentral
AUAGCGUAUAUUAAAGUUUUUGCAGUUAAAAAGCUCGUAGUUGAACUUCAGAUUUGGUUGGGUGGUCCGCUUAACAGCGUGUACUGUCUGACUGAACCUUACCUCUUGGUGAGCUGGUGUGCCCUUUAUUGGUGUGCACCAGGGAACCAGGACUUUUACCUUGAGAAAAUUAGAGUGUCCAAAGCAGGCACUUGCCUGAAUACAUUAGCAUGGAAUAAUGGAAUAGGACGUGUGGUUCUAUUUUGUUGGUUUCUAGAGUCACCGUAAUGAUUAAUAGGGAUAGUUGGGGGCAUUGGUAUUGAGUCGCUAGAGGUGAAAUUCUUGGAUUGACUCAAGACCAACUAGUG